RNAcentral lists this non-coding RNA (332 nucleotides) under Serratia odorifera DSM 4582. Lineage: Bacteria; Pseudomonadati; Pseudomonadota; Gammaproteobacteria; Enterobacterales; Yersiniaceae. The record is from RNAcentral.
AUGCGUCAGGAUGAUGCAGGCUUCAGGAUGAAGAAGUGGAUGCACUCAGUGAAGAGUGACAGGGAUGGCGUCAGGAUGAUGCUCAGGAUGUUUCAGGCAUGAAACCAGGGACACCUCCAGGAUGGAGAUUGAGAACCGGCACAGGAUGGUCGGCGGGUCAGGAAGACCACGGAACCUCGUCAGGCUGACGUUUAAAGGAAUACGGCAAGGAUUGUCUGGUCAGGAUGGCCGAAGGAAAAGUUUUCAAGGAUUGAGCAGGGAGCACACUGCGUAGCGGGAUAGCUAUAAAACGAACCGGGGGCACUGUUAACGCAGUGCCCCCAAUUUUUUGC